Molecule: small nucleolar RNA, 70 nt
Filed under: Nipponia nippon (crested ibis)
Lineage: Eukaryota; Metazoa; Chordata; Aves; Pelecaniformes; Threskiornithidae
Description: Small nucleolar RNA SNORD18
Rfam family: Small nucleolar RNA SNORD18
About the family: U18 is a member of the C/D class of snoRNA which contain the C (UGAUGA) and D (CUGA) box motifs.
Source: Rfam by way of RNAcentral
CUGAAAUGAUGAGAUUCCACUUCAUUGGUCCGUGUUUCUGAAACACAUGAUAACUGGAAGUUCUGAUUGG